This 298-nucleotide long non-coding RNA is filed under the name Malus domestica (apple). Its description in RNAcentral is "long non-coding RNA (MDOM_LNC009598)". Lineage: Eukaryota; Viridiplantae; Streptophyta; Magnoliopsida; Rosales; Rosaceae. The record is from RNAcentral.
AGAAAGUAGGUUGAUUACUUGCGCCCCAUGUAACUUCGGACUUCUCGUUUAUCAAGGACUGUCGUGGAUGGGUUAAGUCCACAUAAGGUUCUUUUUUAUGCCUUGAGGCCAAGGACUUUUAACUGAUCAGAUUUACAUGCCCGAGGGCUUAGGACUUGGAUCUGGUUUGAACACUGACAAUAUAUUCAAAUCGGAUUCAAGUACUGAGAAAGCCUUUUAAUAGUCAUGUUGCUAGAAAUAACUUGCAUAUAACUGGAAGUAUACAACAUAUUGAAAAGACAAAACCAAAGCAAAGAAG